Molecule: non-coding RNA, 187 nt
Filed under: Halanaerobium kushneri
Lineage: Bacteria; Bacillati; Bacillota; Clostridia; Halanaerobiales; Halanaerobiaceae
Source: RNAcentral
AAUAAUGUUCUCUUUUUAGGUGCUUCUUUAAAUUAGAAGAUAAUAGGGAAUCAGGUGAAAUUCCUGAACGGGUCCGCCACUGUUAAUCAGUAGGCCGAUUAAUUACCACUCACUCAUCAAUAGUGCUGGGGAAGGUAAAUCGGUAAAGCUGUAAAGUCAGGAGACCUGCCUGAAAGGAUGGCAGCCA